AACCCAUGAUGAGGGCACCUUCCCAAAACAUCAUUAAAUCACUCUCAUACAUCAUACAAUGUCUUAAGCUCAAAUUGAGCUAAGGAAGAGAUGUCAUUUAUCAACUU
Gossypium arboreum is the source of this 107-nucleotide non-coding RNA. The record is from Rfam. NCBI's taxonomy places the organism in Eukaryota, Viridiplantae, Streptophyta, Magnoliopsida, Malvales, Malvaceae.